Molecule: ribosomal RNA, 410 nt
Filed under: uncultured bacterium
Lineage: Bacteria
Description: bacterial SSU rRNA
Rfam family: Bacterial small subunit ribosomal RNA
Source: RNAcentral
GACGAACGCUGGCGGCGCGCCUAACACAUGCAAGUCGAACGGAGCUUAACUAACUGAAGUUUUCGGAUGGACGUCGGUUAAGCUUAGUGGCGAACGGGUGAGUAACGCGUGGGUAACCUGCCUUUUAGAGGGGGACAACAGUUGGAAACGACUGCUAAUACCGCAUAAGACCACGGUACCGCAUGGUACAGUGAUCAAAGGAGAAAUCCGCUAAAAGAUGGGCCCGCGUCUGAUUAGAUAGUUGGUGGGGUAACGGCCUACCAAGUCGACGAUCAGUAGCCGGACUGAGAGGUUGAUCGGCCACAUUGGGACUGAGACACGGCCCAGACUCCUACGGGAGGCAGCAGUGGGGAAUAUUGGCACAAUGGGGGGAAACCCUGAUGCAGCGACGCCGCGUGAGGGAAGAAGGU